AUAAAGAAAUUUAUUUAAAUUUAUUAUUAAAAAAAGUUUAAAAAAAAAAAUUUAUAAUUUAUUAAUAUUAUGAAAAAUUUUUUUUUAUUAUAGAUAAUUAGUAUUGAAAAAUAAUAUUUUUAAAUUUAUUAAAGAAAAUUUUUGUUGUACCUUGUGUAUCAGGGUUUAUUAAAUAAAUUUUAAUAAUUUUAAUUGUCUCGAAUUUAAAAGAUUUAAUUAUUUAUAAAUUUUAUUGUUGAAUAAAUAUUUAUAAUAAAUAAUUGGUAAUGAAAUGUUAUUCGUUUUUAAAUAUAUCUAGUUCUUUAAGAAAAAAGUUUAAUUUUUUUAAUAAUUUUAAAUUUAAUAAAUUUUAUAUUUUUUUUAAAUUAUUAAUUUAUAUAUUAAGGGAUAAGCUUUAAUAUAAAUGAUUAUAAUUAAUAAGUUUUUAUUAAAUUUUGUAGGAUUAAAAAUUUCUAUUUUAAGUUUUUAAUAAAUUAAUUUAAUUUUUUUUAAAAUUUUUAUUUAGUUUAAUUUUUUUAUUAAAGUAUAUUAUUAAUUUUUAAAUUAAUAGUAAUAAUGAUAGAAUUAGUAUAAGUUUAUGUAAAUUUAAAUUUUAUUUUAAUUUAGAUUAUAAGAAUUCGGCAAAUUUGUUUUUCAAAUGUUUAUUAAAAACAUUUCUUUUUGAAAAUAAUUUAAAGUAGGGCCUGCCCACUGAUAAUUUGAAGGGCCGCAGUAUUUUGACUGUGCAAAGGUAGCAUAAUCAUUAGUUUUUUAAUUGAAAGCUUGUAUGAAUGGUUUAAUGAAAAAAUAACUUUUUUUAAUUUAAUAAUUUAAAACUUUAUUUUUAAGUAAAAAAGCUUAAAUAUUUUUAAAAGACGAGAAGACCCUAUAGAGUUUAAUUAUUUUUUAUUUAAUAAUUUUUAGUAUUAAUUAAUUUUAUUUUAAAAAUAAUUUGAUUGGGGUGAUUAAAAAAUUAAAUAAACUUUUUUUUAUUAUUACAUUAAUAUGUGAAUUUGUGAUCCAAUAAGAUUGAUUAAAAGAUUAAAUUACCUUAGGGAUAACAGCGUAAUUUUUUUUUAGAGUUCAAAUUAAAUAAAAAGUUUGCGACCUCGAUGUUGGAUUAAAAUUUAUUUCUGGUGUAGAAGCUAGAAUAUUGGGUCUGUUCGACCUUUGAAAUUUUACAUGAUCUGAGUUUAGACCGGUGUGAGCCAGGUCGGUUUCUAUCUUUAAUAAAAUAAUAUAUUUUAGUACGAAAGGACCAAAUAUAAAUUUUAAAAAUUAAAUUUUGAAUAAUAUU
Molecule: ribosomal RNA, 1276 nt
Filed under: Nephus oblongosignatus
Lineage: Eukaryota; Metazoa; Arthropoda; Insecta; Coleoptera; Coccinellidae
Description: 16S ribosomal RNA
Rfam family: Archaeal large subunit ribosomal RNA (bases 1036-1194)
Source: RNAcentral